UACAGAGGGUGCUAGCGUUGUUCGGAAUUAUUGGGCGUAAAGGGCGCGUAGGCGGCCCUGUGUGUCGGGUGUGAAAGCCCACCUCUUAAAGGUGGAAUUGCAUUCGAAACUACAGGGCUGGAGUGUCGGAGAGGAUGGCGGAAUUCCUGGUGUAGAGGUGAAAUUCGUAGAUAUCAGGAGGAACACCGGUGGCGAGGGCGGCCAUCUGGACGACAACUGACGCUGAGGCGCGAAAGCGUGGGGAUCAAACAGG
RNAcentral lists this ribosomal RNA (253 nucleotides) under uncultured bacterium. Its description in RNAcentral is "partial 16S ribosomal RNA". It matches the Rfam family "Bacterial small subunit ribosomal RNA", at positions 524 to 776 of the family's 1533-position model. The record is from RNAcentral.